RNAcentral lists this transfer RNA (73 nucleotides) under Perkinsus olseni. RNAcentral's name for it is "tRNA-Thr". It matches the Rfam family "tRNA". Rfam says of the family: Transfer RNA (tRNA) molecules are approximately 80 nucleotides in length. Their secondary structure includes four short double-helical elements and three loops (D, anti-codon, and T loops). The record is from RNAcentral. Lineage: Eukaryota; Perkinsozoa; Perkinsida; Perkinsidae.
GCUUUCUUAGCUUAGUUGGUAGAGCACCCGCUUAGUAAGCGGGAGGUCGUCGGUUCAACCUCGGCAGACGGCU